UGAGGAAUAUUGGUCAAUGGACGCAAGUCUGAACCAGCCAUGCCGCGUGCAGGAAGACGGCUCUAUGAGUUGUAAACUGCUUUUGUACGAGGGUAAACGCAGAUACGUGUAUCUGUCUGAAAGUAUCGUACGAAUAAGGAUCGGCUAACUCCGUGCCAGCAGCCGCGGUAAUACGGAGGAUUCAAGCGUUAUCCGGAUUUAUUGGGUUUAAAGGGUGCGUAGGCGGUCGGAUAAGUUAGAGGUGAAAUCCCGGGGCUUAACUUCGGAAUUGCCUCUGAUACUGUUCGGCUAGAGAGUAGUUGC
RNAcentral lists this ribosomal RNA (303 nucleotides) under uncultured bacterium. RNAcentral's name for it is "bacterial SSU rRNA". It matches the Rfam family "Bacterial small subunit ribosomal RNA", at positions 355 to 655 of the family's 1533-position model. The record is from RNAcentral.